CCGCCCGCUCUCAGCCGCUCACCUACUACAUCCAUUUCGGCUCCUACACCUCAGGACAAACCAACCACCUUUCCUGGAUAUCCUCAGCUCACCCGGACCAGACAACCCUCCCGGUGCAUUUAGUACUGCCAAGAAACAAAACCUCCUCCUGGAGUCCUGCUGCCAGUCCUGCAUCUCGUCGAGUCCCGAACCUCUGUUGCUCAUUAUUUCCAAAAAUAAAACCCUUUUUACUUA
Nothobranchius furzeri (turquoise killifish) is the source of this 234-nucleotide non-coding RNA. The record is from RefSeq and is a predicted model, not a curated record. NCBI's taxonomy places the organism in Eukaryota, Metazoa, Chordata, Actinopteri, Cyprinodontiformes, Nothobranchiidae.